This 571-nucleotide ribosomal RNA is filed under the name uncultured bacterium. RNAcentral describes it as "partial 16S ribosomal RNA". It matches the Rfam family "Bacterial small subunit ribosomal RNA", at positions 355 to 938 of the family's 1533-position model. The record is from RNAcentral.
UGGGGAAUAUUGCACAAUGGGCGCAAGCCUGAUGCAGCGACGCCGCGUGGGGGAUGACGGCCUUCGGGUUGUAAACCUCUUUCAGCAGGGACGAAGCGAAAGUGACGGUACCUGCAGAAGAAGCACCGGCCAACUACGUGCCAGCAGCCGCGGUAAUACGUAGGGUGCGAGCGUUGUCCGGAAUUACUGGGCGUAAAGAGCUCGUAGGUGGUUUGUCGCGUUGUUCGUGAAAAACCGGGGGCUUAACCCUCGGCGUGCGGGCGAUACGGGCAGACUAGAGUACUGCAGGGGAGACUGGAAUUCCUGGUGUAGCGGUGGAAUGCGCAGAUAUCAGGAGGAACACCGGUGGCGAAGGCGGGUCUCUGGGCAGUAACUGACGCUGAGGAGCGAAAAGCGUGGGGAGCGAACAGGAUUAGAUACCCUGGUAGUCCACGCCGUAAACGGUGGGUACUAGGUGUGGGUUUCCUUCCUUGGGAUCCGUGCCGUAGCUAACGCAUUAGGUACCCCGCCUGGGGAGUACGGCCGCAAGGCUAAAACUCAAAUGAAUUGACGGGGGUCAUAGCUGUUUCCU